UACGUAGGGGGCGAGCGUUGUCCGUAUUUAUUGGGCGUAAAGAGCUCGUAGGCGGCUCGGUAAGUCGGAUGUGAAACCUCCAGGCUCAACCUGGAGACGCCAUCUGAUACUGCCGUGGCUUGAGUCCGGUAGAGGAGCAGGGAAUUCCUGGUGUAGCGGUGAAAUGCGCAGAUAUCAGGAGGAACACCUGCGGUGUAGACGGCUUACUGGACCAUAACUGACGCUGAGGCACGAAAGCGUGGGUAGCAAACAGG
Molecule: ribosomal RNA, 254 nt
Filed under: uncultured bacterium
Lineage: Bacteria
Description: partial 16S ribosomal RNA
Rfam family: Bacterial small subunit ribosomal RNA
Source: RNAcentral